AAGACUAUAGACCUGCGGAGUACCUGCGGAGGGAUCAUUAUCGAGUGUAAUCUACCCCUUUAAAAAAGGGUAGUACCUCCCGUCCUUUGCAGGCCUCUUUUUUUAUUAGGGGGGGCUUUUUAAGACUUUCUGCUUCGGCGGGGUUACUCCCGCCGGAACACCCUCAAAAAAUUCUCGAAAAAAAUCGUUCAGUCCGAGAACUUUUUAAAAAUAAAAUAAAACUUUUAACAAUGGAUCUCU
RNAcentral lists this unclassified non-coding RNA (240 nucleotides) under soil metagenome. Its description in RNAcentral is "partial contains 5.8S ribosomal RNA, internal transcribed spacer 2, and large subunit ribosomal RNA". The record is from RNAcentral.